Molecule: ribosomal RNA, 406 nt
Filed under: uncultured bacterium
Lineage: Bacteria
Description: partial 16S ribosomal RNA
Rfam family: Bacterial small subunit ribosomal RNA
Source: RNAcentral
AUUGAACGCUGGCGGCAGGCCUAACACAUGCAAGUCGCGCGAGCGGCGGACGGGUGAGUACUGUCUGGGGAUCUGCCUGAUGGCGGGGGAUAACUACUGGAAACGGUAGCUAAUACCGCAUACCAUCAGAUGAACCCAUAUGGGAUUAGCUUGUAGGUGAGGUAACGGCUCACCUAGGCGACGAUCCCUAGCUGGUCUGAGAGGAUGAUCAGCCAAACUGGGACUGAGACACGGCCCAGACUCCGACGGGAGGCAGCAGUGGGGAAGAUUGCACAAUGGGCGCAAGCCUGAUGCAGCCAUGCCGCGGGUAUGAAGAAGGCCCUCGGGUUGUAAAGUACGUUCAGUCGGGAGGCGUUACCGACAGAAGAAGCACCGGCUAACUCCGUGCCAGCAGCCGCGGUAAUAC